GUGCUCGCUUUGGCAGCACAUAUAGUAAAAUUGGGAUAACACUGAGAAGAUUAGCAUGGCCCCUGCAUGUGGAUGGCAUGCAGAUUCAUGAAGCAUUCCAUAUUUUU
Molecule: small nuclear RNA, 107 nt
Filed under: Salvator merianae (Argentine black and white tegu)
Lineage: Eukaryota; Metazoa; Chordata; Lepidosauria; Squamata; Teiidae
Source: RNAcentral